RNAcentral lists this ribosomal RNA (253 nucleotides) under uncultured bacterium. RNAcentral's name for it is "partial 16S ribosomal RNA". It matches the Rfam family "Bacterial small subunit ribosomal RNA", at positions 524 to 776 of the family's 1533-position model. The record is from RNAcentral.
UACGUAGGGGGCUAGCGUUGUCCGGAAUUAUUGGGCGUAAAGAGCUCGUAGGCGGCUUGUCACGUCGGUUGUGAAAGCCCGGGGCUUAACCCCGGGUCUGCAGUCGAUACGGGCAGGCUAGAGUGUGGUAGGGGAGAUCGGAAUUCCUGGUGUAGCGGUGAAAUGCGCAGAUAUCAGGAGGAACACCGGUGGCGAAGGCGGAUCUCUGGGCCAUUACUGACGCUGAGGAGCGAAAGCGUGGGGAGCGAACAGG